GCUGACUUCUUUAACGAUUUCCUCAUAUCUCUUCUGGCUGUAGGGUGGUUCAGUGGAAUCCAUUUUGUUAACACCAACAAUUAGUUGUUUUACACCCAGUGUGUAAGCCAGAAGGGCAUGCUCACGGGUCUGCCCAUUCUUGGAGACCCUGCUUCAAAUUCACCAACACCAGCAGCAACAAUCAGGACAGCACAGUCAGCCUGAGAUGUGCCUGUAAUCAUGUUUUUGAUAAAGUCUCUGUGUCCUGGGGCAUCAAUGAUGGUCACAUAAUACUUGCUGGUCUCGAAUUUCCACAGGGAGAUAUCAAUGGUGAUACCACGUUCACGUUCAGCUUUCAGUUUAUCCAAGACCCAGGCAUACUUGAAGGAGCCUUUUCCCAUCUCAGCAGCCUCCUUCUCAAAUUUUUCGAUAGUUCUUUUGUCGAUCCCACCACAUUUGUAGAUCAGAUGGCCAGUAGUGGUAGACUUGCCCGAAUCUACGUGUCCAAUGACGACGAUGUUGAUGUGAGUCUUCUCAACCUUUUCUGUGCAUUUGCAAUGCAUCUAAUUCUGAAAUACUCCAAGAACAGAUCUGCCAAAUAAUUAAAUGAAAAAUAAUUUAAAUCUGGCCCUCAAGGUAUCUGGCCAUUAGGAAUGGCAUUUUAUUGGUGGCUGUAAAUUACAUGGUAAUAACUGAAUUUAAUCUCAACAACUAGUUACAAAAAGAUUAAUUUAAAUCAGAAUUUAAAUAUUUCAAUAUUGGAGUUUUCUCAAUUGCAUUUUCUUUCAUGCAGUUUUUGAGUCUGCCUGACAGUGGUUUCAUAAAACAAGGUAUGUCAAUUAAAGAAUUAAAGGGAAGCUAGUUUGCUGUUUUUUUUUUUUUUCUGAAACCAAGUUUUUUUUUUUGUUUUUUUUUUUGUUUUUUUUUGACAGCAUUAAAUGCAACAUCUUCAAGGAAGCAUCUGGACUAUGGUUAUAGAUGAACAUUUCUCAUUUCAUUGUCUGAGUACAAAGCCAUUUAUAGGGCAACUUAUCACAUAAACACCCCUUGGCAUCUUAUAAUAGAAAUCAAUAACACAGCAAAAAAGAAGACAGAUGUGAUUUAACCAUAUGCUAUACCAAAAGAAAAUAAAAGAUAUCCUGUGAACCUCUUAAAACUUUCUGUAUACUAUUUUUUUUUUUACCUUGUAUUGAUGCCUGAUGUAUAUUUAAUUUUCAUCAAUCUUUGGCAAAAAUAGAGUAAAGUGUUUGGAGUUUUUCUUUUUAUAAUAAAAAAAGAAUGAAAUAUUAAAUAGAAAGACUAGAAAGAAAAUAAUCAUUCUGGGAUUCAUGGAACUUUCUCAGAUUUCUUACUGUUUUUAAAUGCACCAUCACUCAGUGAGGUGUGAAGAAAUGCUUUUGAGACAUGAAAGAAAGUGGGGGAGAGGUUCAUUUAUCAAGAAGUAGAAGUCUAGAAAGAAGCAGAAAAUUAUUGUCUAUUCUGAAAUGUAGCCCAGGUAGGGAGACAUGUGGACAAGUGGGACAAGCUGAUUGUUGUAGAAAGGGAAAGUGUGAAGUGGAGUGGGGGUGACCAGGAGCUGGGAGGAUCAAUCCAGCUGAUAUUCUGGACCAGGGUAAGACCCCAACACUGAAAAGAGAGUUAAGUUGCCCCUGUCUCAGUCCCUGCAGUACCACCUGCUCAGAGUGGCUCAGCCAGAUGGUGGCUGAGGCAAAGAUGGCAGUGGAGAGACCCUUGGAACAACCAACAGUGACCUCAAAAGGCAGCCGUCAUCUAGAAAAGAAGUGACUAAAUGGCAAGCAGGUUAACAUGCUUGGCUUGAAGGGAGGAAUUCAGAGCAGUCAAAUUUGGAGAAGACAGAUGAAGACCUACUAUGAUCUUCUGACUCAGGGCAGCUUCCGUAUGGAGGGAGCUGGGGCCCCAGGACUGAGUUGUGGUAGUGUCAGCACCACGAAGACUGGCGGUUUUGUUCCUCAAGGACCCCACAGGUCAUUAUUCUGUCUAGCUGCCUUGAAGACAAGGUGAUGAUGUCUAGUAGCUAUGCCAGCCCUCAUAAAUAAAUUCUUGUCACUGCUAUUGUAGCAGUCCCCUGUUCAGAGAUGGCAAACACCUGAUUUGCAUUUUAAUGGUAAGAGAAAACUCAGUCAAGCACCACAUCAGCUCUUACAAUAAUGACUGAUAUUCUCUUUUCCAUUUCACAGGUUUUUCUUUUACCCCAGAUAUCCAUCCCCUCACUUCCUUUAAUUUCUUUUAUUAUAUAGUGUCCAAAUCACACAUUUUGAGGAGGUCAAGCUGUUUUUUUUUUUUUUUUUUUUUUUACUUUCUUUUAGUACAUUUAGCAUUUGUUCUUGUAAUUUACAUUUAAUUUUGUGAUUUUGUUAAAAGAAAAAGAAGACUUAAUAUUAUUUUAUUUUUUUUAAGAUUUUUUUUUUUUUUAUGAUAGUCACACACACAGAGAGAGAGAGAGAGAGAGAGAGAGGCAGAGACAUAGGCAGAGGGAGAAGCAGGCUCCAUGCAGGGAGCCCGACGUGGGAUUCGAUCCCGGGUCUCCAGGAUCGCGCCCUGGGCCAAAGGCAGGCGCUAAACCACUGCGCCACCCAGGGAUCCCACUUAAUAUUAUUUUAAAUUUGUAAAAUAAAAAGCCACAAUCUUAAUAGUUGCUUGUAAUUUUACAUGUACCUCCAAAUGUUAGAGGGGGCAAUUUUUCCCUUUGCUUCAGCUCCUUUGGAGCAUGAUCCUUUUCUGGAUAAAGGAUUAAGCUGGGAACUGGUCUCCUUUUCUUCUCUUUCAUAUUGUACAUCUUUAUUGAGAUAUAAUUCAUAUACCAUAAAGUUUACCCCUUUAUUUUUUAUUUUAUUUUUUUUUAAGAUUUUAUUUAUUCAUUCACGAGAGAGAGAGAGAGAAUGAGAGUCAGAGACAGAGGCGGAGGGAGAAGCAGGCUCCAUGCAGGGAGCCUGACGUGGGACUUGAUCCCAGGUCUCCAGGAUCAUGCCCUGGGCCAAAGGCAGGCGCUAAACCGCUGAGCCACCCAGAGAUCCCCAAGUUCCCUUUAAAGUGUACCCGUUAUUUAGUGGUUUUUAACUGUAUCAUAAAGUUGUAGAAUUAUCUCCACUAUCUACUUCCAGAAAAUUUUGAUCACUCCCAAAAGUAACCCUAUGCCUACUAGCCAAUUUCUCUCUUCCCCAGCCCCUGGCAAACACUAUUCUACUUUCUGUUUCUCUGGAUUUUCCUGUUCUGUGAUUUCAUAUAUACAAGGUCGUAUACUACCUGACCUACUGUAUUGUGUCUGGCUUCUUUCAUUUAACACAAUUUUUUCACGGUUCAUCCAUGCUUUAGCAAGUAUCAGUACCUCAUUCAUUUCUAUAGCUGGGUAAGACUCCAUUGAAUGGAUAUAACACAUUUUGUUCAUGGUUAUUUGGAUUGUUUCUGCCUUUGCUGUUACCAACAAUACUCCAAUGGACAUUCAUGAAUAUGUUUUUUUUUGGUGGAUAUGUGUGUUUUCGUUUAUCUUGGAAAUAAGCUGAUUUGUUUGCUAGGGCUGCCAUAACAAAAUCUCACAGAUUGGGUGACUUAUAUACCGAAGUUUAUGUUCUUACAGUUCUGGAGGCUAGGUGUUCAAGACCAAGGCGUCUGCAGGUUCAGUUUCUUCUGAGACUUUUUUCCCUGGACUCUCUCUCUCACACAGCCUACUUUCUGGGUCUUCACAUGUUUUUCCUUCAGCCAACGUGUUGUCUGUGUUCUAAUCUCUUCUUAUAAGGACACUAGACAUAUAAAGUAGAACCUGGCCUAAAGACCUCAUUUUAACUUAAUUACAUCUUUGAAGACCUUGCCUCCAAAAUUGUUUACAUUUUGAGGUGCUAGGACUCCAACAUAUGAAUUUUGAGGGGACCCUAUUUAGUCCAUGGCACAUACUUAGGAGGGAAAUUAUUGGGUCAUAGGGCAACUCCAUUUAACCGUCUGAGGAACUGUCAGUUUGCAAAGCAUCUCCACCAUUUUACAUUCCCACCUGCAAUGCAGAAAGGUUCCAAUUUUCCACAUUCUCAUCCACACUUAUUAUCUGUCUUUUUGAUUAUUGCCAUUCACUGGAGGUAAAGUUCUGAAGUGUAUCUUUUUGUGAGUUUUCCAUUUACUCAUAUUUUUCUUUUUUCUCUCACAUUGUCCCUCUUGUCCGAGUUGCUAAUGUCAUAUUUAUGUAUAUAUUUUGUGUAGUCUAAAGGCUUAAAUAUUUGAUCAUUAAACUGGUCAUAUUAGUUGUCAAAAUAGGUGAAGGAGGGCUGUAAGAGUCUGAAGAAUUGUGUAGUUUAUUAUCAAUAAAACAAACAGCACAGAUGCCUUAAAAUAUUUCUUGGAAAGCAUACAAGCUGAAUGAGUGAUUUUAGUUUAUUUACAUAUUAUUCACCCUAAAUUUGAAAACACCCUGUAUUGUUGAUCUAUAUAAACCAAUCAAACACUUACUACUUUGUCCUUUCAAUAAUACCUCUUUGCUUAUUAAAAAAAACAUCACAGCCAGUGUAAAGAUACUACCCGGCUGAAAGAUAUUUCGGGAAAUGUGUAUGCCACUG
RNAcentral lists this long non-coding RNA (4538 nucleotides) under Canis lupus familiaris (dog). RNAcentral's name for it is "lncRNA (ENSCAFG00030014111.1)". Lineage: Eukaryota; Metazoa; Chordata; Mammalia; Carnivora; Canidae. The record is from RNAcentral.